GACGAACGCUGGCGGCGUGCUUAACACAUGCAAGUCGAACGGAAAGGCCCCUUUGGGGGUCCUCGAGUGGCGAACGGGUGAGUAACACGUGAGUAACCUGCCCUUGACUUCGGGAUAACUUCAGGAAACUGGGGCUAAUACCGGAUAGGAAUCCUUGCUGCAUGGUGGGGGUUGGAAAGCUUCGGCGGUUUUGGAUGGACUCGCGGCUUAUCAGCUUGUUGGUGGGGUAGUGGCUUACCAAGGCGUUGACGGGUAGCCGGCCUGAGAGGGCGACCGGCCACAUUGGGACUGAGAUACGGCCCAGACUCCUACGGGAGGCAGCAGUGGGGAAUAUUGCACAAUGGGCGGAAGCCUGAUGCAGCAACGCCGCGUGCGGGAUGACGGCCUUCGGGUUGUAAACCGCUUUCAGCAGGGGCGAAGCUUGUGGUGACGGUACCUGCAGAAGAAGCACCGGCUAACUACGUG
This 465-nucleotide ribosomal RNA is filed under the name uncultured bacterium. RNAcentral's name for it is "partial 16S ribosomal RNA". It matches the Rfam family "Bacterial small subunit ribosomal RNA", at positions 28 to 507 of the family's 1533-position model. The record is from RNAcentral.